This is a non-coding RNA of Stegodyphus mimosarum, 114 nucleotides long. The record is from Rfam. Lineage: Eukaryota; Metazoa; Arthropoda; Arachnida; Araneae; Eresidae.
GUGGGCUACGGCGAUAUGAGGCCAAUCGGCGUCUGGGGCAAAAUAGUGGGCUCCCUCUGCGCCAUUGCCGGCGUCCUAACCAUCGCCCUUCCCGUGCCAGUAAUAGUCUCCAAU